UAUAAUUUUUGUGUAUAAUACUGACAUGGUCCUUAUGAUACCCAACCUUGCUUUAGCGGAAAACAGGGUCACUCACCUUGAUAGACUGGGUAUUAGGCAGAGUUGGUCAUUGUGGGGCAUCUUGGGAUUAAGUGGCACUGACCUUAUUCUGCCCAUGACACAGGUGAGGUCACUGGAGGCUCUGGUGAUGGCUCUCAAGGCACUGCACACUGCUUAGUUCAUAAUCUCAAGUACCAAAACCCAAUCUGUAACCCCUUGACCGUGGAUUUCCUACAAGAUGAUGUCACCAAGCUACAGGAAUGGAGCGAAAAAGUGGCUGCUACAAUUCAAUGAAGAAAAAUGUGAAGUCAUGCACCUUGGGAGGGGAUAUCCAGCUUACCAAUACCACAUGGGAAACACUCCACUAUCCACCACAGAGGCAGAGAAUGACCUGGGACUCUAUGUUACCAGGCUACCAGUGAAAGCGAAAUCCGUGUCAAUCGCAGUGGACGGGUUAACCAUCUAUAACCAGUCAACGAAACAAGACAAAGAGAUCUGAAUUACCAAGAUGAAUUCAGAACCUCUCCCAAUACCAGUAACCAAUCCUUAACCAUCUAUAACCAGUCAAUGAAACAAGACAAAGAGAUCUGAAUUACCAAGAUGAAUUCAGAACCUCCCCAAUACCAGUAACCAAUCCUUAACCAUCUAUAACCAGUCAAUGAAACAAGACAAAGAGAUCUGAAUUACCAAGAUGAAUUCAGAACCUCUCCCAAUACCAGUAACCAAUCCUUAACCAUCUAUAACCAGUGAAUGAAACAGAGUAGGUGAGCUUUUUAUAAGAAAUUUACUGUCCUUUUGUUAACUAGUCAUGCUAAUACACAACUCUUGAGAGAUAAUUUAGCAUAUUAUAAAAAUCUGAUUUCCUGGCACACAUAACAUUACACUUCCCAUCAGAUGUUGAGCAACGGUUGAAGACGCGAUACAUGCACUAUAGACAGACUCAGUUAUGAAAUCUAGUUGGGUGGGGCGUGGUCGAGAAGUCCCCUGGCUACAGCGCUGCCUAACCUAGCCCUCAGAGUAAGGUCCAUAAUCUAAACGUAUCGGUCUCCCCUUAAGACUAUUUCCCAAAGCCACAGAGAAGAUUAAUCAGGUCUUCAUGGGUAAGUUUUCCGUUCAGGGUGCAGAAGUUGGGUUAAACUAUCACCAGAAUCGUCAAACAGUCCGUGAAAACUCUGGCAAUUUCCUGAACUUCUAAAGACCCAAACUUCUAGAAACCACGAUCAGAAUUCCAAUUACUGAAAGACUUACGCCAAUCCAUGAACUUCUAAAGACCCAGACUUCUAGAAACCGCGAUCAGAAUUCCGAUUGCUGAAAGACUUAUGCCAAUCCAUGAACUUCUAAAGACCCAGACUUCUAGAAACCGCGAUCAGAAUUCCAAUUGCUGAAAGACUUAUGCCAAUCCACGAACUUCUAAAGACCCAGACUUCUAGAAACCGCGAUCAGAAUUCCGAUUGCUGAAAGACUUAUGCCAAUCCAUGAACUUCUAAAGACCCAGACUUCUAGAAACCGCGAUCAGAAUUCCAAUUGCUGAAAGACUUACGCCAAUCCAUGAACUUCUAAAGACCCAGACUUCUAGAAACCAUGAUCAGAAUUCCAAUUACUGAAAGACUUAUGCCAAUCCAUGAACUUCUAAAGACCCAGACUUCUAGAAACCACGAUCAGAAUUCCAAUUACUGAAAGACUUAUGCCAAUCCAUGAACUUCUAAAGACCCAGACUUCUAGAAACCACGAUCAGAAUUCCAAUUGCUGAAAGACUUAUGCCAAUCCAUGAACUUCUAAAGACCUAAACUUUCAGAAACCACGAUUAUCAUACCAAUUCCACGAGAGGGUCUUCAUACAAGCAAAAUGAGGUGCCGAGAUGUUUAAGAAUACGGAAAUAGCUGUCAUUGAGCGUGGAGGUUAGGUUAGGAAGUGAUAUGCUGUCCUUGAUCGCUCACCUCAGAAAGCAUUUUUUUUUUUUUACAAAGGAGACAACUCAAGGGCACAAAAAAGCCCACUACUCGCUGCUCCUAAAAAGAAUCAAAAGAGGUGGCCGAAAGAGGGGUCAAUUAAUGUCACGUGUUAUGGAAUUUAUACAAGUCGUUGCUAUAUUAUUCUAAGAAGCGAUACAUUCAAACCCCUGUAUACCCUUAUUUAAUGUAUACAGAAUAAAUACACGAUAUCAAAUAGUAAAUAACUGACAUAUGAGAGGGUUGUACAUAGGGUGACGUGGCAACGCUGUGAGGAGACUCGAACCACACCCAAAUCAUCAUCAUCAUCAAAUAUCAAAUAGCUAACAUACGAGAGGGUUGUACAAAGUGAUGUGGCAACGCUGUGAGGAGACGCAAACCACACCCAAAUGGACUUCAUAUCUGCGUCUGACUAAGGUCCAUCUUCUUAAACAUAUCAAGCACCCAUUACGGCAAGUUUCCAAGGCCACAGAGAAGAGUAACAGUGAAAGGGUUGAAGGUGAGGGAGGUUACGUAAGGGAUGGUUUCAGACGGUGAUGGGGAGGAGUGGUAUAUGAAGGGAGGGGUUAGAGACGAGGUACGGUAUGAAGGGAGGCUUGCGUCGAUCUUAGUUUUGGCGGGUUUUCGUGGGUGAGUUUCCUGAUUCAUGGCGCAGAGGUCAUGUAAAACUAUCACCAGCGUCACGAAAGUCCAUGAAAACACCAGGAACAUCCACGUGAGGCUAUUCAAACAGGGGACGUGAGGUACCGAUAAGAUU
Molecule: long non-coding RNA, 2745 nt
Organism: Eriocheir sinensis (Chinese mitten crab)
Lineage: Eukaryota; Metazoa; Arthropoda; Malacostraca; Decapoda; Varunidae
Exons: 2
Source: RefSeq, a predicted model, not a curated record